RNAcentral lists this ribosomal RNA (457 nucleotides) under uncultured bacterium. RNAcentral's name for it is "bacterial SSU rRNA". It matches the Rfam family "Bacterial small subunit ribosomal RNA", at positions 335 to 784 of the family's 1533-position model. The record is from RNAcentral.
ACUCCUACGGGAGGCAGCAGUAGGGAAUCUUCCGCAAUGGGCGCAAGCCUGACGGAGCAACGCCGCGUGAGCGAGGACGGCCUUCGGGUUGUAAAGCUCUGUUCUUCGGGAAGAAGGGCGGGAGGGCGAACAACUCUUCCGCUUGACGGUACCGAAGGAGAAAGCCCCGGCUAACUACGUGCCAGCAGCCGCGGUAAUACGUAGGGGCGAGCGUUGUCCGGAAUUAUUGGGCGUAAAGCGCGCGUAGGCGGCUGGUUAAGUCCUGUGUGAAAGACCACGGCUCAACCGUGGGGGUGCACGGGAAACUGGCCGGCUUGAGUGCAGGAGAGGGGAGCGGAAUUCCCGGUGUAGCGGUGGAAUGCGUAGAGAUCGGGAGGAACACCAGUGGCGAAGGCGGCUCCCUGGCCUGUAACUGACGCUGAGGCGCGAAAGCGUGGGGAGCGAACAGGAUUAGAUA